AAACUUAGGUUAAUGAAACCAAUUAAAUUUCAAAUUUAAUAAUGAGAAAAUCAGUUUUUAGAUCACUAAAAACAAAAUAUUUUUCUUUUUGCAUUAUGAGGUUUUAAAAAUCUAUAUUAAAAUAUGGCUCUAAGUUUUCAUUUUUUAGCUACUGGUUACACCCGUUUUAAAGGGCCAAAAAAAAUAGCUUAAAACAGGAUAUCUGGUACUGAAAAUUUGUAGUUGUGGUUUAUCUAAUUCAUUUUGAAGAAAAGAUUUUCUAAAUAUCAAGAAGGGAUUAGCUUUCUUGAAGUAAAGCCUAAAAACACUAUGACUAUCAGAAUGUAACAAUUCCAGGUUGAACUAAAUUUAUAUGUAUUAAUCACGCUCUAACUAUAUCAAAAAAUUAAAUCUUUAGUAAAAAUUUAGUAAACCUUUAUACUAGAACACUUUUAGCUGUUUAUAGAAAUUAAAAUAAUCAUGGAACUUGGUUUAGGUUAAUCUGUUUGCCAAAUACUUAGGGGAAUAAUUCCUGAAGCUCUGCCCGGUGAUAAAGAUUUAACGGCUUGACAAGGUAGCAAAAUCAAUUGUUCUUUAAUUGAGAACCAGAAUGAACGGUUUCAUUAAUCUAAAAUUUCAGAUUUAUUUCUCUUAAAUUAGUAUUCUGAGUGCAAAUACUCAGACUAAAUUCAGGGACGAGAAGACCCUAAAAUCUUAUGAACUUAUUUAGGUUGUUGUAGAGGCUUAAUUGGUUGGGGCAACCUAAAAAAUGUAAAUACUUUUUGAAGAUUAAACUUGAACUCAGUUACUUAUUACCAAGAUACUUUAGGGAUAACAGCAUUAAGGGCCUUGGAGCUCGUAUCUAUUGUGCCUGAAUGACCUCGAUGUUGAAUUAAGAAACCUCCUAGGAGAAAAAGCUUGGGAGUUCAGUCUGUUCGACUGAUAUUUUCUUACAUGAUUUGAGUUAAGAUCGACGUAAGUCAGAUUGGUUUCUAUCUUGAAUUUAUACAAGUUUUAAUUAGUACGAAAGGAAUUUAAAAA
RNAcentral lists this ribosomal RNA (1020 nucleotides) under Tigriopus californicus. Its description in RNAcentral is "large subunit ribosomal RNA". Lineage: Eukaryota; Metazoa; Arthropoda; Copepoda; Harpacticoida; Harpacticidae. The record is from RNAcentral.